CUCACAAAUUCUUACCCUGACAGAGAAUGUGUGAUUUUGAGGUUGCUUUCACAUACACCUGCUAGUGUCCACUAGGUCCCCAGUUCCCACCGCGAGGCUGGGUUUCGCGUUCUCAUCCCAGGCUGCCUCCCCCAUUGCCUGCCUCUGCGGCAAAUCGCCGGUUUUGCCGCAAUGCUAAGUCCCAACUUGGCCAACAGGGGGCGCCCGAACCUCCCCUCCUGGAAGGGCGGGCUUCCAGGCCCAAUUCCUCAGGUUGCGCGCUCACCUCCGUAUGGUAGCUUGGGAAAGUCAGGUCUCUGAGGCCACUGAAGCUGAAAGUGGGGACUUCGCUUUUGGGCGACAAGUAGACACUCAGCCUCCGCGGGGUGGCGGAUGGGGAGGGAACGGGGACUCGGCGGCUGGCAGCCUGGGUCGGCGCUAUGGCGACAAAUCGGGAUUCAUUCCCCUGAGCUUGAGGUGGGGACUUAGUCUCUCGGGGAUGGGUGGGGACGCGGCCCCCGGUGGCGUAGACUGUCAAUUAGUCUCGGAGUGGAGGGAGUGUUAGACCUAGGAUCAAAAAUACCAGAUUCCUUUUCUGGGGUGAAAACUGAGGAUUGGCCUCUGGAGGAAACCGCAGGGCUGAGCCCCUCGGGGAGAGGCGGGGACUAAGCCUCAGGAGCAGGAACCCUCUGGAGAAGGGCCUCCACUUUCCAACUGAGAGCCGGGACCUUGGCCUCUGGGCCCCGCGGAAGAUCGGGGGCCAGCGGGAAGGUGGCUUACGCCUGUGAUCCCAGGACUUUGGGAGGCAGAGGCAUGAGUAUCAGUUGAGAUUCAGUGUUGGCUCUCUAAGAGGCCGACAUGGUAGAAAGCUCUGGCCUGAGGGGUCGUAUACAUGGCCAAGGCCAAGACAAGAAACCCUAUGAAAACAAGAGAACCGAGUGAAAAUUCGCCUCCUGAAGAGCAGAACUCCAAGCUGCCUUCUCUUCCUCAACUCCCAAAACACUAUUCUCUGGGAAAAUGGGAAGAUUUUUCUCUGGGAAUUCUGCCCUGCCCAGAAGAAAAGGCCCAUAAACACUGGGAGUGGGUGUCUUAUCCUUGCCUCAUCACCCUACAGCAGUGGGUCUUAAACUUGAGGGACACCGUCCCACCUCCGAUCCGGUCUUCUCUUGGUACAUUUAACAGAGCCUGGAGAUGCUGUGGGUUGCCUCACCUGGUAGGAGGUGGGUGUUACAGGUAUCUAUCACACAGAGGCCAACGAUGCUGCUAAACAUCUUACAACUCAAAAGACAGUUUCACACAAUGAAGAAUUCUCUGGUCCAAAAUGUCACUAAUGCUGAGGUUGAGAAACACUGUCCUAAAGUGAGGCCCACCCAUCAGCAAGGCCUACCCACAUGCAGAAUUCUUCCACAUAGCCUUUCAGCACCUCACAAUGAAAUAUAAGCAGAUAGCCAAGCGCCCCCAAAGAAUAAAACAAAGAUCAGAAGAGUGACGACUUAAAGGAUUUUGCCAAAGUGACCGAUCAAUGUUGUCCCUGACACAUGCAUCUCAGUGGUGAAGUCUCCCUGCAUCCAUUCCUACUCCCUUUGCCAAGGUCAAAGCCCACUGAGCAGCCAUCCAACCACAGGACUACAACAGGGGGACUCUCCGGCUCAGUGGAGGUCUUCUCCACUCCAAACCGUAUGCAUGAAUACUCUGACAUUCUAGGAUAUCAGAUGAGCUGAGUCUUGCUAGGGAGAGUGAGCUCUAGAAACAAAGUAGUAGGUAGAAUUCAAAACAUCCAAGGAGAGGGGUUAGGGAGGUGUUUCCUAUGGCAGAAGUGGCUGAGAAACUUAAAGCAAUUAAGUUGUCUCUGCCGGGGACUUGCCUGCCCUGCACUCUGCUACCGCUACACCAGCUUAUCUCCAAAGGGUUGGUGAUGAGCGAUUGCACAUCAUAGCCUGGCUUUGUGCUGCUCUGUGGAAUAGAGAAGAAGCCCUAGAGCCCAAUAGGGUAGAGAGAACACAGAAGAGGCUGGAGGUGGAGCAGCUGACAAGGUGAGGGCCACAUCUCUACCACUAUGUGGCCAUAGGGCAUACCUUCAUGAGGCAGUGAAGUAAGGAGCUUCGUAGCAGGUGCAUCAUGGAGCAGAAGAAAGGGGCAGGCUCGUUCAUGCCCUGGCAAAAGUGGGGCCCAGACUCACUGAGGCUGGGAACAAAGUGAUGGUGAGCAGGAAUCUCACAGGGGUCUCUCCUAACUCUUCAGGGCUUUGGGUGUUCUGGUUAUGGCUGUAUUAUCUCACUCAGUCCCCAAAGGGCUCUUGCAGUUGUAGCAGAAUUAACUCCACCCGGCAGGUGGAAAAAAAAGGAGGCAGAGAAAGCUUCAGUAACUUGCUUAUGGUAGUGUGGGAUGAAGAGGGGCUUGUCACCUGUCUGAUUCCAGCUGACACUAAAAAAUGAAGUUUGACUUUGUUUAACA
Molecule: long non-coding RNA, 2433 nt
Organism: Cebus imitator (Panamanian white-faced capuchin)
Lineage: Eukaryota; Metazoa; Chordata; Mammalia; Primates; Cebidae
Exons: 2
Source: RefSeq, a predicted model, not a curated record